UCGCGGCCUAUCAGCUUGUUGGCGGGGUAACGGCCCACCAAGGCAUCGACGGGUAGCUGGUCUGAGAGGACGAUCAGCCACACUGGGACUGAGACACGGCCCAGACUCCUACGGGAGGCAGCAGUGGGGAAUCUUGCGCAAUGGGCGAAAGCCUGACGCAGCAACGCCGCGUGGGGGACGAAGGCUCUCGGGUUGUAAACCCCUUUCAGGAGGGACGAAAUUGACGGUACCUCCAGAAGAAGCCCCGGCCAACUACGUGCCAGCAGCCGCGGUAACACGUAGGGGGCGAGCGUUGUCCGGAUUUAUUGGGCGCAAAGAGCUCGUAGGUGGCUCGGUAAGUCGGGUGUGAAAUUUCGAGGCUCAACCUCGAGACGCCACCUGAUACUGCUGUGGCUAGAGUCCGGUAGGGGAGCGUGGAAUUCCUGGUGUAGCGGUGAAAUGCGCAGAUAUCAGGAGGAACACCAGCGGCGAAGGCGGCGCUCUGGGCCGGUACUGACACUGAGGAGCGAAAGCGUGGGGAUCAAACAGGAUUAGAUACCCUGGUAGUCCACGCCGUAAACGUUGGGCACUAGGUGUGGGGUUCUAUCAACGGACUCCGUGCCGAAGCUAACGCAUUAAGUGCCCCGCCUGGGGAGUACGG
RNAcentral lists this ribosomal RNA (640 nucleotides) under uncultured Actinomycetes bacterium. Its description in RNAcentral is "bacterial SSU rRNA". It matches the Rfam family "Bacterial small subunit ribosomal RNA", at positions 231 to 885 of the family's 1533-position model. Lineage: Bacteria; Bacillati; Actinomycetota; Actinomycetes. The record is from RNAcentral.